This 329-nucleotide unclassified non-coding RNA is filed under the name soil metagenome. Its description in RNAcentral is "partial contains 5.8S ribosomal RNA, internal transcribed spacer 2, and large subunit ribosomal RNA". The stretch from base 1 to 120 matches the Rfam family "5.8S ribosomal RNA", at positions 35 to 154 of the family's 154-position model. The record is from RNAcentral.
GAUGAAGAACGCAGCGAAAUGCGAUAAGUAAUGUGAAUUGCAGAAUUCAGUGAAUCAUCGAAUCUUUGAACGCACACUGCGCCCCUUGGUAUUCCGAGGGGCAUGCCUGUUCGAGCGUCAUUAUAACCCCUCAAGCUCAGCUUGGUGUUGGGGCCUGCUGCACUGGCAGCCCUUAAAAUCAGUGGCGGCGCCAUCUGGCUCUAAGCGUAGUAAUUCUUCUCGCUAUGGAGUCCUGGUGGAUGCUUGCCAUCAACCCCCAAUUUUUCUAUGGUUGACCUCGGAUCAGGUAGGGAUACCCGCUGAACUUAAGCAUAUCAAUAAGCGGAGGA